RNAcentral lists this ribosomal RNA (330 nucleotides) under Triticum aestivum (bread wheat). Its description in RNAcentral is "partial small subunit ribosomal RNA". Lineage: Eukaryota; Viridiplantae; Streptophyta; Magnoliopsida; Poales; Poaceae. The record is from RNAcentral.
AUGGCCGGCGCUGCAUCCGAGGCGAAUAAGGGCGAGAUGCACUCCAUACCUGUUGGCCUCGAGGCGAAUAAGGAAGGGAUGCAGCCCGUGGCCGGCGGUGCCAGCGUAGAUGAGGACAACGCCUGGAUGCAGUUCAUCUCCGACGGCGCCUGGUACACCAGCGCCGUCGCGCGAGAGGAUAACUCAUGGAUGCAGUUUAUCUCUGACGUCGCCUGGUGCACCAGAGUCGCCGUGGACAAGGAUGGUUCCUUCCUGCAGUUCAUCUUCGACGACGCUUGGUACCGCAGCGCUGGCGACGGACAGGGAACGACAGAGAAAAGUAAAGAAUAG